RNAcentral lists this unclassified non-coding RNA (195 nucleotides) under Gloeophyllum sepiarium. Its description in RNAcentral is "ITS1". The record is from RNAcentral. Lineage: Eukaryota; Fungi; Basidiomycota; Agaricomycetes; Gloeophyllales; Gloeophyllaceae.
AAGGAUCAUUAACGAGUAAACAGGAGAGUUGUAGCUGGCCGCAAGGCAUGUGCACGCUCUCUACUCAAUCCAACCUUACACCCUGUGCACCUAUUGUAGGUCGAGUGGCUGGACUUGUUCUGGUUGCUCUUCCUAUGUUUUACACAUACACUUGUAGUCUCAGAAUGUAAUCAGCGUAUAACGCAUUAUAAAACA